Molecule: long non-coding RNA, 1162 nt
Filed under: Salmo salar (Atlantic salmon)
Lineage: Eukaryota; Metazoa; Chordata; Actinopteri; Salmoniformes; Salmonidae
Description: lncRNA (ENSSSAG00000089793.1)
Source: RNAcentral
CACACCUUGUGUAAACAUCUCCCAAUAAUCUCCCGUACUCACAAUACUGGUGUAUUAAAUACAAUACACUAUAGCCUACACCUUUAGCCUACACAAUACAGGUAAUACAAUGCACAAUACACUAUAGCCUACACAAAGCAGGUAAUACAAUGCACAAUACACUAUACCCUACACAAUACAGGUAAUACAAUACACUAUAGCCUACACCUUUAGCCUACACAAUACAGGUAAUACAAUACACUAUAGCCUACACCUUUAGCCUACACAAUACAGGUAAUACAAUACACUAUAGCCUACACCUUUAGCCUACACAAUACAGGUAAUACAAUGCACAAUACACUAUGGCCUACACCUUUAGCCUACACAAUAUAGGUAAUACAAUGCACAAUACACUAUAUCUUACACAAAACAGGUAAUACAAUGCACAAUACACUAUAGGCUACACAAAAAAGGUAAUACAAUAAAUAAUACCCUAUAGCCUACACAAGUACACAAGACAGGUAAUACAAUACACAAUACACUAUAGCCUAUACAAUACAGGUAAUACAAUAUUUCCAUUAGUUCUUUGCUUCAACUACUUCCCACGGUCUUAGCAUAUUCAGCCAUUUUGUUAUGAUUAUUCAGUCAUGUUAUGAGAGUGGCUGAUGGUUUGGUCCGGGCUCUGCAUGGUUUGGUCCAGGCUCUGAGAAGAGGAGGGGAGGAGAGAAAAAACAGCUGUGGCCCCUGCUGGGGGCCUCUCCUGCCAUGUGCAGGGUUAACCCCAUCCCUCAUCAACCACACACACACUGCUCUGCUCUGGCUAGCAAUAUAUAUAUAUUGCUAGCCAGAGCAAAUCAAAAUCAAAUCAAAUGUAUUUAUAUAGCCCUUCGUACAUCAGCUGAUAUCUCAAAGUGCUGUACAGAAACCCAGCCUAAAACCCCAAACAGCAAGCAAUGCAUGUGAAAGAAGCACGGUGGCUAGGAAAAACUCCCUAGGAAAAAACUCCCUUGAAAGGCCAAAAACCUAGGAAGAAACCUAGAGAGGAACCAGGCUAUGAGGGGUGGCCAGUCCUCUUCUGGCUGUGCCGGGUGGAUAUUAUAACAGAACAUGGUCAAGAUGUUAAAAUGUUCAUAAAUGACCAGCAUGGUCUAAUAAUAAUAAUCAUAGUAGUUGUCGAGGGUGC